AUUGAACGCUGGCGGCAUGCUUUACACAUGCAAGUCGAACGGUAACAGGCCGCAAGGUGCUGACGAGUGGCGAACGGGUGAGUAAUGCAUCGCAACGUGCCCAGUCGUGGGGGAUAACGCAGCGAAAGCUGUGCUAAUACCGCAUACGAUCUAUGGAUGAAAGCGGGGGACAGUAAGGCCUCGCUCUAUUGGAGCGGACGAUGUCAGAUUAGGUAGUUGGUGGGGUAAAGGCCCACCAAGCCAACGAUCUGUAGCUUGUCUGAGAGGACGACCAGCCACACUGGGACUGAGACACGGCGCGGGCUCCUACGGGAGGCAGCAGUGGGAAAUUUUGGACAAUGGGCGAAAGCCUGAUACAGCAAUGCCGCGUGCAGGAAGAAGGCAUUCGGGUUGUAAACUGCUUUUGUACGGAACGAAAAGGUCUGGGUUAAUACCCUGGGCCGAUGACGGUACCGUAAGAAUAAGCACCGGCUAACUACGUGCCAGCCGCCGCGGUAA
Molecule: ribosomal RNA, 498 nt
Filed under: uncultured bacterium
Lineage: Bacteria
Description: partial 16S ribosomal RNA
Rfam family: Bacterial small subunit ribosomal RNA
Source: RNAcentral